RNAcentral lists this ribosomal RNA (1142 nucleotides) under Haematopinus tuberculatus. RNAcentral describes it as "large subunit ribosomal RNA". The stretch from base 745 to 1090 matches the Rfam family "Archaeal large subunit ribosomal RNA", at positions 2149 to 2717 of the family's 2987-position model. The record is from RNAcentral. Lineage: Eukaryota; Metazoa; Arthropoda; Insecta; Psocodea; Haematopinidae.
AAUAAUACUGGAUGAGGAGGUUAUCUUAUAAAUAGAAUGAAUAAACACUAAUAUAGAGUAUCUAUACUGAAAGUUGACUUAAUUUACACUGUAAAGGUAUAAUGAUUAAAUAGAAUAAAGAAUAUAUAGCUAUUGUACCUUUUGUAUCAGGGAUAUAGGAAUAGAAUUGAAUUAUGUUUCAUAGUCCCGAAGGAAAUUGAGCUCUUUCUGGUUAGGGGUUAAUGUUUCAAAAUUAUUCUUAAAUCAUAAUGAGAUGUGAAAUGCUAGUCAAAAUUUCUUAUAUCUGGUUGUCUAUUUCUAACCUAUAGGGUAUCGCCAUAAAUAAUUGAAUGAGUGUAAAUCUUUAAGGGAUAAUCUUUAAAGAAUUGAUAGGUUUAAAUUGGUUCAGUAUUGAGAAUUUAACUAUCCUAUUGAAUUUAUCUUAUAACUCCAUAAUUUAGACUAUUUAGAUUAAUUUUAACCCUAAAGAAAUGAUCUAUGUAUUAGUAAAUCGUAUUUAUCCUCUUAAAGGAACUCGGCAAUAGUUAUUUUGAUUGUUUAAUAAAAACAUUUCCUUUUUAAAGAUUAAAAGGUACGACCUGCUCAAUGCUUGUGAUUGUAAAUAGCUGCGGUAUCCUGACCGUACUAAGGUAGCAUAAUAAUUUGUUUCUUAAUUGGAAACUAGAAUGAACGGUCUAACAAAAGUAAAACUGUCUCUAAUAGGAGAUAUUGAAUUUUAUUUUUAAGUGAAAAAGCUUAAAUUACCUAGUAGGACGAGAAGACCCUAUAGAUUUUCAUAGUGAAUUUAACAUUAACCUGUUAGGUCAUUAUUUACCUGGGAAGGGGCUUUAAUAAAACUAAAUUUAAAUUAAAUUAACAUAAUAAGACAAUUUGAUCCCUUAUACUUAAGGAUAGAAAGAAAAAAUACCUUAGGGAUAACAGCAUAAUCUUCUUUCUCAGUUCUUAUGGGAUAAGGAGGCUUAUGACCUCGAUGUUGAAUUAAGUUUUCAUUUAUAAUGUAAAAGGUUAAAUGGUUAGUCUGUUCGACUAUUAAAAACUUACAUGAUUUGAGUUUAGACCGACGUGAGUCAGGUCAGAUUCUAUCCUCUAGCACAUUUAUUAUCUUAGUACGAAAGGAUUAGAUAGUACAUUUUACAUAUAAA